CCUACGGGUGGCUGCAGUGAGGAAUAUUGGUCAAUGGUCGGGAGCCUGAACCAGCCAAGCCGCGUGAGGGAGGAAGGUACAGAGUAUCGUACACCUCUUUUGUCAGGGAACAAAGACUGGGACGCGUCCCCGGAUGAGUGUACCUGAAGAAAAAGCAUCGGCUAACUCCGUGCCAGCAGCCGCGGUAAUACGGAGGCGGCGAGCGUUAUCCGGUUUUAUUGGGUUUAAAGGGUGCGCAGGCGGUCUGUAAAGUCAGCGGUCAAAGCCCGGGGCUCACCCCCGGCCCGCCGUUGAAACUGGCAGGCUCGAGUUGGAGAGAAGUAUGCGGAAUGCGCGGUGUAGCGGUGAAAUGCAUAGAUAUCGCGCAGAACUCCGAUUGCGAAGGCAGCAUGCCGGAUCCACACUGACGCUGAGGCACGAAAGCGUGGGUAUCGAACAGGAUUAGAUACCCGAGUAGUC
This 459-nucleotide ribosomal RNA is filed under the name uncultured bacterium. RNAcentral describes it as "partial 16S ribosomal RNA". It matches the Rfam family "Bacterial small subunit ribosomal RNA", at positions 338 to 795 of the family's 1533-position model. The record is from RNAcentral.